RNAcentral lists this ribosomal RNA (374 nucleotides) under uncultured Glomeromycotina. RNAcentral describes it as "eukaryotic LSU rRNA". Lineage: Eukaryota; Fungi; Glomeromycota. The record is from RNAcentral.
UUGAAAGGGAAACGAUUGAAGUCAGUCAUACCAACGGGAAAUCAACCUUUUGAGCUCGGUCUCGUGGGUUUUGAAGAGUUUCAAAGCCUUCGGAUUCGCGAGAUUGGGAACUCUUGGUGUACUUUUUCGUACGGUUAGUCAACAUCGGUUUUGAAUGUCAUAAAAUGACCGGAGGAAUGUAGCUUCGAUCUCGUAUUGAAGUGUUAUAGCCUUUGGUAGAUGUGGUGUUUGGGACUGAGGAUUGCAACGAAUAUCCUUUGGGCUAUCCGCCUGAUCUCUGAAAGUUGCUUAGGUGCCGAAAGCAUGCUUACGGUUAUUUAAGUUGACGGUCAAAAGGUUAGAACGUGAUUACAUUCGUUAAGGAUGUUGACGUA